GGGUGUGAGGGCGAUCUGGCUGCGACAUCUGUCACCCCAUUGAUCGCCAGGGUUGAUUCGGCUGAUCUGGCUGGCUAGGCGGGUGUCUCCUUUCUCCCUCACCGCUCCAUGUGCGUCCCUCCUGAAGCUGCACACUUGGUUGAAGAGGACGGCCUUCCCCAAAUAGGGAUGGUCCGGUCUUUGGUGGAGGGUAUAGGAGUAGCUGCGCUCCCCUGCUAGAACCUCCAAACAAGUUCUCAAGGAUCAAGAGAUAAUGUCUCAGUGACUUUAUGGAGGUAAAAAGCCCCUCCUUCCCCAUUUAAGAGAGGUU
Molecule: unclassified non-coding RNA, 310 nt
Organism: Erinaceus europaeus (western European hedgehog)
Lineage: Eukaryota; Metazoa; Chordata; Mammalia; Eulipotyphla; Erinaceidae
Gene: 7SK
Rfam family: 7SK RNA
About the family: 7SK was discovered as an abundant small nuclear RNA in the mid-70s but a possible function has only recently been suggested. Two independent studies have found that 7SK RNA binds the CDK9/cyclin T complex (known as elongation factor P-TEFb).
Source: Ensembl